Long non-coding RNA from Mytilus californianus (California mussel), 474 nucleotides. RefSeq lists it as uncharacterized. The transcript has 4 exons. The record is from RefSeq and is a predicted model, not a curated record. NCBI's taxonomy places the organism in Eukaryota, Metazoa, Mollusca, Bivalvia, Mytilida, Mytilidae.
UGUCAUGCCUAUGUAUUCACGAUGAUUUACAGCAGAAUGUCAAUAGCACCCAUCAUGAUGCCGAUGUUGGUCAGUUUCUUUUACCUGGUAAUGUUGUUGCGUGUAGAAGGCGCUAACAUUGAAAACAAUGACGAUUCGAUAGAACAACAGGAAACUUCACAUGCAGCGGCCAUUCGGAGAGACAUAUCCGACGACUUGACAGAUACAAGAAAAACUGUAGAAGAUUUGACAAAUUAUAAGCGAGAAUCCUCAGACGUGGACGCGAAGGUUGAUGAUAUAAUGCACUCAUUACAAGGGAUAUGUUUUCACGAUAAACCCAAAAACACAGCGAAGCAACUGUUAAAAGACACUCAAUCCAUACUGAACAAUAUUGAUGUAUACAGUGAUGUAGUUAAACUUAACACACAGUUGAGAAAUAAGUUGAAAUGGAUAGUGGAAGGCAAGUAUUACUUGAAAAAUAACAUUGAAUCAUUA